GCGGGGGUACCCGAGCCAGGUCUAAUUAGAGGGUUAGAACCCUCCUAGGAUAGGGGGGAGGACUUAAGAUCCUCUGGCGUAGGCCUCCGCGGGUUCAAAUCCCGCCCCCCGCACCA
This 116-nucleotide transfer RNA is filed under the name Candidatus Bathyarchaeota archaeon. Its description in RNAcentral is "tRNA-Leu". It matches the Rfam family "tRNA". Rfam says of the family: Transfer RNA (tRNA) molecules are approximately 80 nucleotides in length. Their secondary structure includes four short double-helical elements and three loops (D, anti-codon, and T loops). The record is from RNAcentral. Lineage: Archaea; Thermoproteati; Candidatus Bathyarchaeota.